This 86-nucleotide unclassified non-coding RNA is filed under the name Pseudomonas orientalis. Lineage: Bacteria; Pseudomonadati; Pseudomonadota; Gammaproteobacteria; Pseudomonadales; Pseudomonadaceae. The record is from RNAcentral.
UGUGGGAGGGGGCUUGCUCCCGCAGUGUGUCAGUCACUGCAUUUUGUGACUGAUCCACCGCUAUCGGGAGCAAGCCCCCUCCCACA